CCUACGGGCGGCAGCAGUGGGGAAUAUUGGACAAUGGGCGAAAGCCUGAUCCAGCCAUGCCGCGUGUGUGAAGAAGGCCUUCGGGUUGUAAAGCACUUUCAGUGGGGAAGAAAGCCUUGGGGCUAAUACCCUCGAGGAAGGACAUCACCCACAGAAGAAGCACCGGCUAACUCCGUGCCAGCAGCCGCGGUAAUACGGAGGGUGCGAGCGUUAAUCGGAAUUACUGGGCGUAAAGCGCGCGUAGGCGGUCUGAUAAGCCGGUUGUGAAAGCCCCGGGCUCAACCUGGGAACGGCAUCCGGAACUGUCAGGCUAGAGUGCAGGAGAGGAAGGUAGAAUUCCCGGUGUAGCGGUGAAAUGCGUAGAGAUCGGGAGGAAUACCAGUGGCGAAGGCGGCCUUCUGGACUGACACUGACGCUGAGGUGCGAAAGCGUGGGUAGCAAACAGGAUUAGCUACCGUGUAGUC
This 464-nucleotide ribosomal RNA is filed under the name Vreelandella stevensii. Its description in RNAcentral is "partial 16S ribosomal RNA". It matches the Rfam family "Bacterial small subunit ribosomal RNA", at positions 338 to 795 of the family's 1533-position model. Lineage: Bacteria; Pseudomonadati; Pseudomonadota; Gammaproteobacteria; Oceanospirillales; Halomonadaceae. The record is from RNAcentral.